RNAcentral lists this transfer RNA (73 nucleotides) under Halobacterium jilantaiense. It matches the Rfam family "tRNA". Rfam says of the family: Transfer RNA (tRNA) molecules are approximately 80 nucleotides in length. Their secondary structure includes four short double-helical elements and three loops (D, anti-codon, and T loops). The record is from Rfam by way of RNAcentral. Lineage: Archaea; Methanobacteriati; Methanobacteriota; Halobacteria; Halobacteriales; Halobacteriaceae.
AGUUCCGUAGGGUAGUGGCCAAUCCUGUUGCCUUCUGGGGGCAACGACGGAGGUUCGAAUCCUCCCGGAACUA